Molecule: ribosomal RNA, 719 nt
Filed under: Lutibacter sp.
Lineage: Bacteria; Pseudomonadati; Bacteroidota; Flavobacteriia; Flavobacteriales; Flavobacteriaceae
Description: bacterial SSU rRNA
Rfam family: Bacterial small subunit ribosomal RNA
Source: RNAcentral
GAUGAACGCUAGCGGCAGGCUUAACACAUGCAAGUCGAGGGGUAACAGGGAGGAGCUUGCUUUUCCGCUGACGACCGGCGCACGGGUGCGUAACGCGUAUAGAACCUACCUUUUACAGGGGAAUAGCCCAGAGAAAUUUGGAUUAAUGCCCCAUAGUAUUAUUGAAUGGCAUCAUUUAAUAAUUAAACAUUUAUGGGUAAAAGAUGGCUAUGCGUUCUAUUAGCUAGAUGGUAAGGUAACGGCUUACCAUGGCAACGAUAGAUAGGGGUCCUGAGAGGGAGAUCCCCCACACUGGUACUGAGACACGGACCAGACUCCUACGGGAGGCAGCAGUGAGGAAUAUUGGACAAUGGAGGCAACUCUGAUCCAGCCAUGCCGCGUGCAGGAAGACGGUCCUAUGGAUUGUAAACUGCUUUUAUAUAGGAAGAAACCUUUCCACGUGUGGAAAGCUGACGGUACUAUAAGAAUAAGCACCGGCUAACUCCGUGCCAGCAGCCGCGGUAAUACGGAGGGUGCAAGCGUUAUCCGGAAUCAUUGGGUUUAAAGGGUCCGUAGGCGGACUAAUAAGUCAGGGGUGAAAUCCAACAGCUUAACUGUUGAACUGCCUUUGAUACUGUUAGUCUUGAGUUAUAUGGAAGUAGAUAGAAUAUGUAGUGUAGCGGUGAAAUGCUUAGAGAUUACAUAGAAUACCGAUUGCGAAGGCAGUCUACUACGUAUAU